GGCUGUUUGGUGUGUGGGUGUAGUAAUUUUAUUACUUUUAAAGCGCGGUCUUGAUAAGGCCGAGAGUACUGGUUCGAGUCCUGUAGUAGUGA
This 92-nucleotide transfer RNA is filed under the name Ulva meridionalis. Its description in RNAcentral is "tRNA-Ser". Lineage: Eukaryota; Viridiplantae; Chlorophyta; Ulvophyceae; Ulvales; Ulvaceae. The record is from RNAcentral.